AUUGAACGCUGGCGGCAGGCCUAACACAUGCAAGUCGAGCGGAUGAAGGGAGCUUGCUCCUGGAUUCAGCGGCGGACGGGUGAGUAAUGCCUAGGAAUCUGCCUGGUAGUGGGGGAUAACGUCCGGAAACGGGCGCUAAUACCGCAUACGUCCUGAGGGAGAAAGUGGGGGAUCUUCGGACCUCACGCUAUCAGAUGAGCCUAGGUCGGAUUAGCUAGUUGGUGGGGUAAAGGCCUACCAAGGCGACGAUCCGUAACUGGACUGAGAGGAUGAUCAGUCACACUGGAACGGAGACACGGUCCAGACGCCUACGGGAGGCAGCAGUGGGGAAUAUUGGACAAAGGGCGAAAGCCUGAUCCAGCCAUGCCGCGUGUGUGAAGAAGGUCUUCGGAUUGUAAAGCACUUUAAGUUGGGAGGAAGGGCAGUAAGUUAAUACCUUGCUGGUUUGACGUUACCAACAGAAUAAGCACCGGCUAACUUCGUG
This 484-nucleotide ribosomal RNA is filed under the name uncultured bacterium. Its description in RNAcentral is "partial 16S ribosomal RNA". It matches the Rfam family "Bacterial small subunit ribosomal RNA", at positions 30 to 507 of the family's 1533-position model. The record is from RNAcentral.